RNAcentral lists this ribosomal RNA (490 nucleotides) under uncultured bacterium. Its description in RNAcentral is "partial 16S ribosomal RNA". It matches the Rfam family "Bacterial small subunit ribosomal RNA", at positions 30 to 507 of the family's 1533-position model. The record is from RNAcentral.
AUUGAACGCUGGCGGCAGGCCUAACACAUGCAAGUCGAACGGUAACAGGAAGCAGCUUGCUGCUUUGCUGACGCGUGGCGGACGGGUGAGUAAUGUCUGGGAAACUGCCUGAUGGAGGGGGAUAACUACUGGAAACGGUAGCUAAUACCGCAUAACGUCGCAAGACCAAAGAGGGGGACCUUCGGGCCUCUUGCCAUCGGAUGUGCCCAGAUGGGAUUAGCUAGUAGGUGGGGUAACGGCUCACCUAGGCGACGAUCCCUAGCUGGUCUGAGAGGCUGACCGGCCACACUGGAACUGAGACACGGUCCAGACUCCUACGGGAGGCAGCAGUAGGGAAUAUUGCGCAAUGGGCGCAAGCCUGAUGCAGCCAUGCCGCGUGUAUGAUGAAGGCCUUCGGGUUGUAAAGUACUUUCAUCGGGGAAGAAGGGAGUAGAGUUAAUACCUGUGCUCAUUGACGUUACCCGCAGAAGAAGCACCGGCUAACUCCGUG